RNAcentral lists this ribosomal RNA (711 nucleotides) under uncultured bacterium. Its description in RNAcentral is "bacterial SSU rRNA". The stretch from base 1 to 453 matches the Rfam family "Bacterial small subunit ribosomal RNA", at positions 1089 to 1533 of the family's 1533-position model. The record is from RNAcentral.
GCAACGAGCGCAACCCCUGUNCCUUAGUUGCCAGCGCGUGCAAGGCGGGGACUCUAGGGAGACUGCCGGUGCCAAACCGGAGGAAGGUGGGGACGACGUCAAGUCAUCAUGGUCCUUACGUCUAGGGCUACACACGUGCUACAAUGGCGGGGACAAAGGGCUGCGAGCCGGCAACGGCAAGCCAAUCCCGUAAACCCCGCCUCAGUUCGGAUUGUCGUCUGCAACCCGACGGCAUGAAGCUGGAAUCGCUAGUAAUCGUGGAUCAGCUACGCCACGGUGAAUACGUUCCCGGGCCUUGUACACACCGCCCGUCACGCCAUGGAAGCUGUGAGCGCACGAAGUCCGUGUCGAAAUCCCGCAAUGGAUCAAGCGGCCGAAGGCGAGCGCAGUGACUGCGNCGAGGUCGUAACAAGGUAGUCCGUAGGGGAGUCCUGCGGCUGGAUCAACUNCAUGNCGNGAUCGCGAGUNNUCCUCCUCGGAGGGGANAGUCAUCUCGUAGUCGCUUCGCNUUCGAACACAUUCCUGUGCACCCCACUACUCGAAUUGNUUGAAUCCCCGACGGGGCCACCCUCCGGGGUGCCCCCCCUGCCCGGGGUUUCANGUUGGCCCUGGGUUUUUGAAACGAACCCGGGGAAUUUGUUUACCCAUUUGGGGGUACAGAAAUUCGGAUGGCGGGAAAUUUUAAUUUCGGAAAGGUUCCCUUAAGUCUUU